GAUUGCACUUUGUUUGGUGUUUAUGCCGAACAGUUUUUGACAUUUGUUACUUCUCAUGAUAUGGAAAAGCCAAUUAUAAUAACACUACAGUUUGCAAGAACGAAGAUUUGGAAUGAGCACCCCAUAGUUCAAAAUGAUUAUUAUGGAACUAGACUCUUGAUCAACGCUUCUAUUGAUGAGGUUGAAGAAUUCAAGCAAAGGAUGAGUGAUAACGGCAUUCAACUUUCUGGGUUAAAUAAGAUCCCCCCAAACAGUCACAAUCAAGUGUAACUACAGAAGAUGAUUUUUUGGUGGACAUAGACCAUCAACCUUUAGCCACAAUUGAUAAUCAAAAAAAGACUACUUGGUACACGAACUUAUCAACUAUAGAAGGAUUUCUUGAUGAGGAUGAAUGGUCUUAUAUUGCCUGCAAAAAAA
Erigeron canadensis is the source of this 417-nucleotide long non-coding RNA. RefSeq lists it as uncharacterized. The record is from RefSeq and is a predicted model, not a curated record. The transcript is spliced from 4 exons. NCBI's taxonomy places the organism in Eukaryota, Viridiplantae, Streptophyta, Magnoliopsida, Asterales, Asteraceae.